Neofelis nebulosa (Clouded leopard) is the source of this 291-nucleotide long non-coding RNA. RefSeq lists it as uncharacterized. NCBI's taxonomy places the organism in Eukaryota, Metazoa, Chordata, Mammalia, Carnivora, Felidae. The record is from RefSeq and is a predicted model, not a curated record. The transcript is spliced from 2 exons.
UGAACCACCAUAGGCGGUGGAGCUUUUACGUUGCGCAGGGAUGAAUUUGGAUUUACUGCUAAUGCUAAUGCAUUUAGAGUCUACUUGAAAGAACGGGUACUGGGGCGCCUGGUACUGACUUUCUUAGUUUGUUUUGUUUGGAGGAGAAAUCCCAAAAAGACUGCCCAGGGAAAAGAAAAUAACAGUCUGAUGGGAAGUCUGCUAGAAAGGAAUGAGGACCGAAUUCCUAACUUCAGUUCUGUUAGGGACCUCCCAGAGGGAUUUCAUUCACAUGGUCUCGGGCAUCCCCAG